AUAAUUACCUGACAGGGGAGAUAUCAUGAUCACAAAGGUGGUUUUCCCAGGACAAGGCUUAUCCAUUGCGCUCAAGAUGUGCUGACCCCUGUGAUUUCCCCAAAUGUGAGAAAUUCGACUGUAUAAUUUGUGGUAGUAGGGGACUGAGUUCACACCCUCACCUG
Small nuclear RNA from Ictidomys tridecemlineatus (thirteen-lined ground squirrel), 164 nucleotides. Its record names the gene U1. It matches the Rfam family "U1 spliceosomal RNA". From Rfam's summary of the family: U1 is a small nuclear RNA (snRNA) component of the spliceosome (involved in pre-mRNA splicing). Its 5' end forms complementary base pairs with the 5' splice junction, thus defining the 5' donor site of an intron. There are significant differences in sequence and secondary structure between metazoan and yeast U1 snRNAs, the latter being much longer (568 nucleotides as compared to 164 nucleotides in human). The record is from Ensembl. NCBI's taxonomy places the organism in Eukaryota, Metazoa, Chordata, Mammalia, Rodentia, Sciuridae.